CAGCAGCCGCGGUAAUACGUAGGGGGCGAGCGUUGUCCGGAAUUAUUGGGCGUAAAGCGCGCGCAGGCGGUCCUUUAAGUCUGAUGUGAAAGCCCACGGCUCAACCGUGGAGGGUCAUUGGAAACUGGGGGACUUGAGUGCAGGAGAGGAGAGCGGAAUUCCACGUGUAGCGGUGAAAUGCGUAGCGAUGUGGAGGAACACCAGUGGCGAGGGCGGCUCUCUGGCCUGUAACUGACGCUGAGGCGCGAAAGCGUGGGGAGCAAACAGGAUUAGAUACCCGGGUAGUCCACGCCGUAAACGAUGAGUGCUAAGUGUUAGAGGGGUCACACCCUUUAGUGCUGUAGCUAACGCGAUAAGCACUCCGCCUGGGGAGUACGGCCGCAAGGCUGAAACUUAAAGGAAUUGGCGGG
Molecule: ribosomal RNA, 410 nt
Filed under: uncultured microorganism
Description: bacterial SSU rRNA
Rfam family: Bacterial small subunit ribosomal RNA
Source: RNAcentral